This 630-nucleotide long non-coding RNA is filed under the name Setaria italica (foxtail millet). Its description in RNAcentral is "long non-coding RNA (SITA_LNC002883)". Lineage: Eukaryota; Viridiplantae; Streptophyta; Magnoliopsida; Poales; Poaceae. The record is from RNAcentral.
CCACCUGAGUAAUGGUGAAGUAAUUAUAAACUGAUCAGUAGAAAAAUCUUUUAUUCAGACUAACCUCAUGCUGUAUGGUUUGUUUACAACUGAUUUUUCUGCCCAUUAUUGGCGGGAAAUUCUGAUACACGGCCGGUUAUGCAAAUUAAACGAAUAUAACCAAAGAAUCAAACUAUAAAUAAUUCACGGCUCUUAAGGGUGUAUAUACCUAUACCGAUGUGUAUGUAAGAGAACUUAAUUUAAAAACCUAUAAUUAUAUGCAUACACUAACAAUCCCAGCAGGCUGCAAGUGUGUGCUGUGCUCUACUAGGCACUACCCCGACGACGGGGGGCACCCAGUGUUGGGGCUGUGCGUCUGACACGACGGCCCCGCUCCCAGCUGCUGCAGAUACAACCGUCGGAGAAGCCGGAGGGUGCGUUCGCUAGAGAGCACGGCCUCUCCGGCGCGCCAGCCAUCGCCGGCCAUUAACGGCCGCGCUGAGCUCGACGCGACCAGGAACGCCAUGGCCGUCGCCGUCAAGAUCACCGCCACAAUAAACUUCGACCUCAUCGUUGUAGUAGCUGAACUAUAGCUAGCAGCUUCCUCCGAUAGAGAGUUGGAGACGAAGUGAUCCUAUCUCUAGCUGCUUG